GAUCGAGUUGUAAUUUGAAGAUGGCGUUUUCUGUGUUUCUGAUCAGUCCAAGUCCUUUGGGAUAAGGCAUCAUGGAGGGUGAGAAUCCCGUUCGGUUGAUCAGAUUCGCUUUACGAGACAUCACAAAGAGUCAAGUUGUUUGGGAUUGCAGCUUAAAAUGGGAGGUAAAUUUCUUCCUAAGGCUAAGUAACGGCGAGAGACCGAUAGCGAACAAGUACC
RNAcentral lists this ribosomal RNA (219 nucleotides) under Rhizophagus intraradices. RNAcentral's name for it is "partial 25S large subunit ribosomal RNA". It matches the Rfam family "Eukaryotic large subunit ribosomal RNA", at positions 136 to 352 of the family's 3401-position model. The record is from RNAcentral. Lineage: Eukaryota; Fungi; Glomeromycota; Glomeromycetes; Glomerales; Glomeraceae.